AGGACCCCCAGAUCCCGUUGUACUUCCCCUUUUCCCCCUUCCCAUUUAGAAAGAUGAGGUUCCAUGUCUCAACUCAUCCAAUGCAUGUUUGAGCUCAGUAAAUUCCCAUUUUCCUUUGCCGAAUAAGGUUUGACAAGAUGUGUUUUACACUGACACAAACACUUUCAACAGAAGUGAUGUCUGAACCCUGAGUAGAAGAGGAAGAGGAAGGUCCUGUAGUUUCAUAAGACACAGCGUGAGACUGGGGAAGUCAGUGUGUCACCGUGCUUGGAGCUUUGCUGCCCAGUCUCUGGACUCGUUCACCAUCAGUCUCUUCCCACAAGAGAAUGUACAAAAUGAGGCCGAGGUCUCUCUGCAACAGUUUGCCAGCUGGUUUGAUGUUCAGUUUCUUUGUUUUCCUGCUUCAACCAGUUUCCACACAGAAAAACAGAAAUCGAAUGUAUUUCUUGGAUAAUGGA
Molecule: long non-coding RNA, 458 nt
Organism: Amblyraja radiata (thorny skate)
Lineage: Eukaryota; Metazoa; Chordata; Chondrichthyes; Rajiformes; Rajidae
Exons: 3
Source: RefSeq, a predicted model, not a curated record